UACGGAGGGUGCAAGCGUUAUCCGGAUUCACUGGGUUUAAAGGGUGCGUAGGAGGGUAGGUAAGUCAGUGGUGAAAUCUUCGAGCUUAACUCGGAAACUGCCGUUGAUACCAUCUAUCUUGAAUACCGUGGAGGUGAGCGGAAUAUGUCAUGUAGCGGUGAAAUGCUUAGAUAUGACAUAGAACACCAAUUGCGAAGGCAGCUCGCUACACGAAUAUUGACUCUGAGGCACGAAAGCGUGGGGAUCAAACAGG
RNAcentral lists this ribosomal RNA (253 nucleotides) under uncultured bacterium. Its description in RNAcentral is "partial 16S ribosomal RNA". It matches the Rfam family "Bacterial small subunit ribosomal RNA", at positions 524 to 776 of the family's 1533-position model. The record is from RNAcentral.